Molecule: ribosomal RNA, 253 nt
Filed under: uncultured bacterium
Lineage: Bacteria
Description: partial 16S ribosomal RNA
Rfam family: Bacterial small subunit ribosomal RNA
Source: RNAcentral
UACGUAGGGUGCAAGCGUUGUCCGGAAUCAUUGGGCGUAAAGAGCGUGUAGGUGGCCCGAUCAGUCCGCUGUGAAAGCCCAGGGCUCAACCCUGGAAUGCCGGUGGAUACUGUCGGGCUAGAGUCCGGAAGGGGCGAGUGGAACUCCUGGUGUAGCGGUGAAAUGCGCAGAUAUCAGGAAGAACACCGAUGGCGAAGGCAGCUCGCUGGGACGGUACUGACACUGAGACGCGAAAGCGUGGGGAGCAAACAGG